RNAcentral lists this long non-coding RNA (2221 nucleotides) under Dasypus novemcinctus (nine-banded armadillo). RNAcentral's name for it is "lncRNA (ENSDNOG00000050250.1)". The record is from RNAcentral. Lineage: Eukaryota; Metazoa; Chordata; Mammalia; Cingulata; Dasypodidae.
GGAAGCUCCUGCAGGGGUUUGAUUUGGUUUUGGAGAAACGUUCAGGGCUCAGAAGGCCAGGAAGGGUGCGCUCAGGGCACCACCGCGAGGGGAGGGGCAGAACUCGCCUGCCCUGAGCCCCCCACCCAGGAAACAGCUGCUGGCCACUCCCAGGAUGUCCUUUCCUUCCUUUUCUUUAUGGUCUUGCCAUCCUAGUUUGUAUCGGAGCAACGUGCGGUUGCGUUUUCCUUGCUUUGAACUAAUGCUCUCAUCGCAGUAGCGACAUGCUUGAGGGUUGCCUCUUGUAGUCCACAGGGCCCUCGAGGGAGACGUUUGCCGUCUGCGUUGCUGGGUAGGAUCCACUGCCCGCGGAACCGCACUUUCUCCUGGCUGGGGUGGCUUCCGUUUUUCUGCUCUUGUAAGUGACACCACCGUCACCCUCACGCAGAGACCUCGCCUUCACCUCAGGAGCUCCUUGAGCCACACGUCCAGUGGUGGCGUUCCUGGCACGGGGGGUGGCGCGUUCAGGUUUACUGGGUAAUCGCAGACUGACCCGGGUGGUGCCCACGGAGUCCACUUCCCAGGGCUGGGGGGGGCCGUCGCUGCCCCUUGCCCUCUGCUGGCGCGGCGAGCGCGUGGCAGCCCGCACUUCCCAGGCUGGAGGGGCGCCUCAGCAGUUUUCCUGUGGCUUCCUCUCUUGCGCAGUGCCCCCUGGGUGGACCUGGCUGUUCUCUGUCGGGUUGUUGGCUGGCAGGAGCCGCGUGAGCUGUGCUUUCAUUUCUGUGACUUCUGUCCGAGGUGUCUGCUGGGCCUCGGAGCCGGCCGCUCCCCGCGCACGAGCUGGUGCACCUGUUCCGGCCACCUCCAUGGGCUCAUGAGGCACCCGCUUACCAAGUUUUUUCACCUUUCCAAUUUGCUUCAAAUGCCAAACGACUGUAGAAUGAUGGACAUUGAAUUCUUCAGCAACUUCUCGUGUAGUUUAAGAGGAUCAGCUUCAGUGAUUGCUUUCAACUGGUCAUUGUCAACUUCGAUGGCCGGCCACUACGCUCCUCAUCUUCAGGACUCAUCUCCUUUGCAGAACUUCUUGAACCACCACUGCACUGUACGUUUUUUAAAGUUCCUGGACCAAAUGUGGUGUUGAUGUUGCAAGGUGUGUCCACUGCUUUAUGAUCCAUUUUGAAUUCAAAUUAAAAAAAUCGCUCGAAUUUGCUUUUUCUGUAACAUCAUUUCCAUAGUGUGAAAUAAAUAUAAACAGCAAGUAGAAAGUCAUUAGCAAAAAAAACAUAAAGUGAGAAAUGUCCAUUAAAAUGCUGUAUAACAUAACCACAUUUAUUUAAGAAUAUAUGCCAGUAUCAAAUGGCAAAUUUCAACAAUGCAAAACUGCAGUUGCUUUUGUACCCACCUAUAUAAGGAGAGUUCCUAACGUCUUUCUGCUUAGGACGGAGAGGUGUGUGCGUGCGUGCAUGCGUUUGUGUGUCCCUCUGCCCCUCAGUCUGUCUCUUGUCCACUCUUUCUCUCUGGUCUGUGUAUGUGUGUGAACCUUUCUUUGUUGUUUUUGCUUUUAUUAGCAACUUUGAGGCACGAUUUGUAAUUAAUAAAUUUCCCCAAUUUUCAGUGUACGGUCAGUGAGUUUUACAGUCGUGCGUCCACUUGUAGAGUCGUGAUCUCAGUCCCCCGUCCCCAUCCCCAUCCCCAUCCCUAGCUGUCGCUAAUCUGAUUUCUUUCUCUGUAGUUUUAUUUUUUCUAGAAUCUCAUAUAAAUGGAAUCACUAUGCAUUAAUUAGGGUUUUCCAGAGAAACAGAAUCGGCAGGAGAUGUCUGUGUAUUUGUGUAACUGUUGGAUUUGUUAUAGGAAUUGGCGCUGCUCCCUGGGGAUUGGGCAGUCCACAUUCCAUAGGGCAGGCUGCAGGUCGGGAGCUGGAAGGAGGCCCUGAGUUUCCAGGAGAAGCUGUCUGAAUGGAGGAGGGUAGGGAUUCUCCUGACUGCUGAGAGCCCAGUUCUCACUCUCAGCGCCGCUCCUUGCUGAGGGCAGCCUUGGUUGACUGUCGCCGUAUGCGAAGCCACCUGACCAGUGAUUUAAGUUCCGAAACCAGCGGGGCAGUGCUUGCUUGACAGACAGCUGGGCACGGUGACCAGCACUUCCUGUCACGCUGGACGCUGGGUCUGUGUGUCCAGCCUAACGCUGUGGCCAGCCGUCCCUGCCGCUGCGGGCGUCAGUCGUCUGUUCCUUUUCGAGACCUGAG